This 253-nucleotide unclassified non-coding RNA is filed under the name uncultured Planctomycetia bacterium. RNAcentral's name for it is "contains 16S-23S intergenic spacer region". It matches the Rfam family "Bacterial small subunit ribosomal RNA", at positions 524 to 776 of the family's 1533-position model. The record is from RNAcentral. Lineage: Bacteria; Pseudomonadati; Planctomycetota; Planctomycetia.
GACGAACCGAGCGAACGUUGUUCGGAUUCACUGGGCUUAAAGGGCGCGUAGGCGGGUGAUCAAGUCAGGGGUGAAAUCCCCCGGCCCAACCGGGGAACUGCCUUUGAUACUGAUCGUCUGGAGGGGGAUAGGGGCACGCGGAACUUUCGGUGGAGCGGUGAAAUGCGUAGAUAUCGGAAGGAACGCCGGUGGCGAAAGCGGCGUGCUGGGUCCUUUCUGAUGCUGAGGCGCGAAAGCCAGGGGAGCAAACGGG